CGAGCUUAUGACCUGCGCCGCCCUAGAUUUCCAGUCGAUCCUGGAGUGGUCACUGCUAUCGGGGUUCGAUUAAGCCAUGCGAGUCGAGAGGGUUCAGACCCUCGGCGGACUGCUCAGUACACGUGGAUGAUCUGCCCUAUGGUGGAGAUAACCCCGGGAAACUGGGGAUAUACUCCAUAAGUCAGGAGUACUGGUAUUGUCUCCUAACUGAAAGUUGCGGCGCAUAGGAUGGAUCUGCGGCGAUUAGGUAGUUGUGGGGUAUUUUUCUCUUUUAGCUGUAUCGGUACGGGUUGUGGGAGCCAUAGUCCGGAGAUGGAAUCUGAGACCGAUCCAAGCCUACGGGGCGCAGCAGGCGAAACUUUCAUGCAGAACUGUGAUAGGACCCGAGUGGCCGUAACGCGGUGUCCGGUGUUUAACAUCGGGAA
RNAcentral lists this ribosomal RNA (425 nucleotides) under uncultured archaeon. RNAcentral's name for it is "bacterial SSU rRNA". It matches the Rfam family "Archaeal small subunit ribosomal RNA", at positions 1 to 435 of the family's 1478-position model. The record is from RNAcentral.